This 69-nucleotide transfer RNA is filed under the name Timelaea maculata. RNAcentral's name for it is "tRNA-Gln". The record is from RNAcentral. Lineage: Eukaryota; Metazoa; Arthropoda; Insecta; Lepidoptera; Nymphalidae.
UAUAUUUUAGUGUAGGAUGCACGAUAAUUUUUGAAAUUAUAGGAUAUAGUUUAAUUCUAUAAAAUAUAA